AAUCUGUCAAUUCUAGAACCACAAGGUCAGCUGGAAGGCAUCUAUCCUCUAUAAACACUGGACUGAACUGACAGGCUGACUCUGCCAAGGAUGGGUCACAUCUAGGUCCACUGACCCAGAGAGGACACGCUAACUCGGAUACGAUCAACCCCAAUCUCUCUGCGGCUCUAGAAGAAAUGAAAGAGUGAGAAGCACCGGGGUCCAUUAAAGCAUACACCUCUGAACACCCAAUGAUGA
Molecule: long non-coding RNA, 237 nt
Filed under: Manihot esculenta (cassava)
Lineage: Eukaryota; Viridiplantae; Streptophyta; Magnoliopsida; Malpighiales; Euphorbiaceae
Description: long non-coding RNA (MESC_LNC007118)
Source: RNAcentral